GCUGGGCAUGGUGGCUCAUUCCUGUAAUCUCAGCAGAUCUGGAGGCUGAAGCAGGAGAUUCACUAGUUCAAAGCCAGCCUUAGCACUUAGUGAGGCACUAAGCAACUCAGUGAGCCCCUGUCUCAA
RNAcentral lists this small RNA (126 nucleotides) under Marmota monax (woodchuck). The record is from RNAcentral. Lineage: Eukaryota; Metazoa; Chordata; Mammalia; Rodentia; Sciuridae.